This 468-nucleotide ribosomal RNA is filed under the name uncultured bacterium. RNAcentral's name for it is "partial 16S ribosomal RNA". It matches the Rfam family "Bacterial small subunit ribosomal RNA", at positions 329 to 792 of the family's 1533-position model. The record is from RNAcentral.
GUCCAGACUCCUACGGGAGGCAGCAGUGAGGAAUAUUGGUCAAUGGGAGGAAUCCUGAACCAGCCAUGCCGCGUGCAGGACGACGGCUCUACGAGUUGUAAACUGCUUUUGUACCGGGGUAAAAUGCCUUACGAGUAGGGUUUUGAAAGUACGGUACGAAUAAGGAUCGGCUAACUACGUGCCAGCAGCCGCGGUCAUACGUAGGAUCCGAGCAUUAUCCGGAGUGACUGGGUGUAAAGAGUUGCGUAGGUGGCAUAGUAAGUAGCUAGUGAAAUCUGGUGGCUCAACCAUUCAGACUAUUAGCUAAACUGCUAAGCUCGAGACCGUUAGGGGUAACUGGAAUUUCUAGUGUAGGAGUGAAAUCCGUAGAUAUUAGAAGGAACACCGAUAGCGUAGGCAGGUUACUGGGACGGUUCUGACACUAAGGCACGAAAGCGUAGGGAGCAAACGGGAUUAGAUACCCGCGUA